Molecule: ribosomal RNA, 253 nt
Filed under: uncultured bacterium
Lineage: Bacteria
Description: partial 16S ribosomal RNA
Rfam family: Bacterial small subunit ribosomal RNA
Source: RNAcentral
UACGUAGGGGGCAAGCGUUGUCCGGAUUUAUUGGGCGUAAAGAGCGUGUAGGCGGUUUGGUAGGUCCGUUGUGAAAACUCGAGGCUCAACCUCGAGACGCCGGCGGAAACCAUCAGGCUAGAGUCCGGAAGAGGAGAGUGGAACUCCUGGUGUAGCGGUGAAAUGCGCAGAUAUCAGGAAGAACACCCAUGGCUAAGGCGGCUCUCUAGUACGGUACUGACGCUGAGACGCGAAAGCGUGGGGAGCGAACAGG